GAGUUUGAUCCUGGCUCAGAACGUACGCUGGCGGCACGCCUAACACAUGCAAGUCGAACGAAGUAGCAAUACUUAGUGGCAGACGGGUGAGUAACAUGUAGGUAUCUGCCCUUUGGCCUGGAAUAACACGAGGAAACUUGUGCUAAUACCGGAUAAGUCUUUACGGAGAAAGCUUUAUGCACCAUUGGAUGAGCCUGCACUUGAUUAGUUUGUUGGUGGGGUAAUGGCCUACCAAGACUGUGAUCAAUAGCUGAUUUGAGAGGAUGAUCAGCCACAUUGGGACUGAGACACGGCCCAAACUCCUACGGGAGGCAGCAGUGGGGAAUCUUGCACAAUGGAGGAAACUCUGAUGCAGCGAUGCCGCGUGAGUGAAGAAGGCCCUUGGGUUGUAAAGCUCUUUCGUCGGGGAAGAAAAUGACUGUACCCGAAUAAGAAGGUCCGGCUAACUUCGUGCCAGCAGCCGCGGUAAUACGAAGGGACCUAGCGUAGUUCGGAAUUACUGGGCUUAAAGAGUUCGUAGGUGGUUGAAAUAGUUGGUGGUGAAAUCCCAGAGCUUAACUCUGGAACUGCCAUCAAAACUUUUCAGCUAGAGUAUGAUAGAGGAAAGCAGAAUUUCUAGUGUAGAGGUGAAAUUCGUAGAUAUUAGAAAGAAUACCAAUUGCGAAGGCAGCUUUCUGGAUCAUUACUGACACUGAGGAACGAAAGCAUGGGUAGCGAAGAGGAUUAGAUACCCUCGUAGUCCAUGCCGUAAACGAUGUGUGUUAGACGUUGGAAAUUUAUUUUCAGUGUCGCAGGGAAACCGAUAAACACACCGCCUGGGGAGUACGACCGCAAGGUUAAAACUCAAAUGAAUUGACGGGGACCCGCACAAGUAGUGGAGCAUGUGGUUUAAUUCGAAGAUACGCGCAGAACCUUACCAACACUUGACAUGUUCGUCGCGACUCUAAGAGAUUAGAGUUUUCGGUUCGGCCGGACGAAACACAGGUGCUGCAUGGCUGUCGUCAGCUCGUGUCGUGAGAUGUUGGGUUAAGUCCCGCAACGAGCGCAACCCUCACUUUUAGUUGCCAUCAUUAAGUUGGGCACUCUGAAAGAACUGCCAGUGAUAAGCUGGAGGAAGGUGGGGAUGACGUCAAGUCCUCAUGGCCCUUACGUGUUGGGCUACACACGUGCUACAAUGGCAUCUACAACAGGAAGCAAAACGGCAACGUUAAGCAAAUCCCGAAAAGAUGCCUCAGUUCGGAUUGCACUCUGCAACUCGAGUGCAUGAAGCUGGAAUUACUAGUAAUCGUGGAUCAGCGUGCCACGGUGAAUGCGUUCCCGGGUCUUGUACACACCGCCCGUCACACCAUGGGAGUUGGUUCUACCUUAAGGCAAGGUUUUAAACCCUUGACCACGGUAUAGUCAGCGACUGGGGUGAAGUCGUAACAAGGUAACC
RNAcentral lists this ribosomal RNA (1435 nucleotides) under uncultured marine bacterium. Its description in RNAcentral is "bacterial SSU rRNA". It matches the Rfam family "Bacterial small subunit ribosomal RNA". The record is from RNAcentral.